UGUUUGAUAGGUAGGUAACAUCCUACAAGUGUUUUAUUAAAAUUAUUUGAAAAUAUUUCAUACCAAAUACUGUGCAAGUUAUUGUUACGAUUUCAACUUUAAUUGCAUAAGAAAAUCUCUUUAAUUACAUGAAACCAAAUUUUUGAAUGUUGCAGUUUCUCGAUUCAUAAUAGCAUAUAUUAAACCAUAUAUUUUUAAAAUUAGCUACAUGGUAUUCAUACAUUGCUAUGCAAAUUUAUUAUUAUAUUUAUGUAAAUUUGAUCAAGCAGGUAAAAUUACAUUUGUUGAAUAUUCUGUUGUAAAUCAGGCAAAUCAUAAGCAAAUUCUGCAAAGAACUUGGUUUCCACAUUUCGUUAAGAUAAAAAUAUAGAGUGUUCUAGAGGAUUUAAUGCAGUAAAUUUCUAUUUCAAAACAUUAUUUUCCUUAAAGGAAAGAACGAUGCAGUUCGAACUUCUAUCGCAUGGUUUAUUUUAAUCUUGAUGUAGAUAAAGAUAAAAUAGAAAAGAAAGGACAUAAGCUAGUUCACUUUACAGAAAGGACAUAAGCUAAUGUUUAUACGCUGAAGUACUGCUUGCUUAGGCAAACCCAAUGUCCUCAAAAAACUCCACCCCGUAAGGUUUAAAAACCACUGCCAAUCAACUACCUCAUGCACGAGUUAAUUGAGCACCAAAUGAUGAUAAUAACAAUAAUAAAAUUUAAGACAUAAUUUAAGGAAAAAUGCCCAAGGACCAGUGCCAUAAUGACCUUUCUCACCACCAUAGCCAUUAAAAAACACAACUGGGUUGCCCGUAUCAGGGCCGCCAUUCACAAUUCCAAAAGUCCCAGCACCUAUAAAAACAAGUUUACGUCCAAAAGAGGUUCAAUACCUAAGCGAACAGGGGAAAAAAAUACCAGGUCCCAUAGCUCUCUUCUCCAGCUCUGUCCUCAGCUUCUCAAGCACCCGAGCCACGGACACAAGGUU
This 961-nucleotide long non-coding RNA is filed under the name Phoenix dactylifera (date palm). Its description in RNAcentral is "long non-coding RNA (PDAC_LNC003664)". The record is from RNAcentral. Lineage: Eukaryota; Viridiplantae; Streptophyta; Magnoliopsida; Arecales; Arecaceae.